GCUGUGAUGGCCGAGUGGUUGUGAAGGCGUUGGACUUGAAACUCAAUGGGGUCUCCCUGCGCAGGUUCAAACCCUGCUCACAGCG
Molecule: non-coding RNA, 85 nt
Organism: Etheostoma cragini (Arkansas darter)
Lineage: Eukaryota; Metazoa; Chordata; Actinopteri; Perciformes; Percidae
Source: the annotation of a RefSeq genome assembly